Molecule: ribosomal RNA, 424 nt
Filed under: uncultured bacterium
Lineage: Bacteria
Description: bacterial SSU rRNA
Rfam family: Bacterial small subunit ribosomal RNA
Source: RNAcentral
UGAGGAAUAUUGGUCAAUGGGCGAGAGCCUGAACCAGCCAUCCCGCGUGCAGGAAGAAGGCCCUAUGGGUUGUAAACUGCUUUUACGCAAGAAGAACAUUCCGGUCGAGACCGGGACUGACGGUACUGCGUGAAUAAGCACCGGCUAACUCCGUGCCAGCAGCCGCGGUAAUACGGAGGGUGCAAGCGUUAUCCGGAUUUAUUGGGUUUAAAGGGUGCGUAGGCGGCUUUUUAAGUCAGUGGUGAAAUCCUGCAGCUCAACUGUAGAACAGCCAUUGAAACUGAAGAGCUUGAGUAAUCUUGAGGUAGGCGGAAUGUGUAGUGUAGCGGUGAAAUGCUUAGAUAUUACACAGAACACCGAUUGCGAAGGCAGCUUACUAAGGAUUUACUGACGCUGAUGCACGAAAGCGUGGGGAUCAAACAGG